GGUUAAGUUAAUAAGGGCGCACGGUGGAUGCCUUGGCACUAGAAGCCGAAGAAGGACGUGACUAACGACGAAAUGCCUUGGGGAGCUGUAAGUAAGCAAUGAUCCAGGGGUGUCCGAAUGGGGGAACCCGGCAGGUAAUGCCUGUCACUCACUACUGUUAAGGUAGUGAAGAGGAAGACGCAGUGAACUGAAACAUCUAAGUAGCUGCAGGAAGAGAAAGCAAAAGCGAUUGCCUUAGUAGCGGCGAGCGAAACGGCAGGAGGGCAAACCGAGGAGUUUACUCCUCGGGGUUGUAGGACUGCAAUGUGGACUUAAAGAGUAUAGAAGAACUACCUGGGAAGGUAGGCCAAAGAGAGUAAUAGCCUCGUAUUUGAAAUAUUCUUUAUACCUAGCAGUAUCCUGAGUACGGCGAGACACGCGAAAUCUCGUCGGAAUCUGGGAGGACCAUCUCCUAACCCUAAAUACUCUCUAGUGACCGAUAGUGAACCAGUACCGUGAGGGAAAGGUGAAAAGUACCCCGGAAGGGGAGUGAAAUAGAACCUGAAACCGUGUGCCUACAACAAGUUCGAGCCCGUUAAUGGGUGAGAGCGUGCCUUUUGUAGAAUGAACCGGCGAGUUACGAUAUGAUGCGAGGUUAAGUUGAAGAGACGGAGCCGUAGGGAAACCGAGUCUUAAUAGGGCGCAUUAGUAUUAUGUCGUAGACCCGAAACCAUGUGACCUACCCAUGAGCAGGUUGAAGGUGCGGUAAGACGCACUGGAGGACCGAACCAGGGCACGUUGAAAAGUGCUUGGAUGACUUGUGGGUAGCGGAGAAAUUCCAAACGAACUUGGAGAUAGCUGGUUCUCUCCGAAAUAGCUUUAGGGCUAGCGUCGACAUUAAGAAUCUUGGAGGUAGAGCACUGUUUGGAUGAGGGGGCCAUCUCGGUUUACUGAUUUCAGAUAAACUCCGAAUGCCAAAGAUUUAUGGUCGGCAGUCAGACUGCGAGUGCUAAGAUCCGUAGUCGAAAGGGAAACAGCCCAGACCACCAGCUAAGGUCCCAAAAUAAUUGUUAAGUGGAAAAGGAUGUGGGGUUGCACAGACAACUAGGAUGUUAGCUUAGAAGCAGCUAUUCAUUCAAAGAGUGCGUAAUAGCUCACUAGUCGAGUGACCCUGCGCCGAAAAUGUACCGGGGCUAAAACAAUUUACCGAAGCUGUGGAUAACACUUAAGUGUUAUGGUAGGAGAGCGUUCUAUGUGUGAAGAAGGUAUACCGUGAGGAGUGCUGGAACGCAUAGAAGUGAGAAUGCCGGUAUGAGUAGCGAAAGAUGGGUGAGAAUCCCAUCCACCGUAAGACUAAGGUUUCCAGGGGAAGGCUCGUCCGCCCUGGGUUAGUCGGGACCUAAGGAGAGACCGAAAGGUGUAUCCGAUGGACAACAGGUUGAUAUUCCU
RNAcentral lists this ribosomal RNA (1428 nucleotides) under Streptococcus suis. RNAcentral describes it as "partial 23S ribosomal RNA". It matches the Rfam family "Bacterial large subunit ribosomal RNA", at positions 1 to 1440 of the family's 2925-position model. The record is from RNAcentral. Lineage: Bacteria; Bacillati; Bacillota; Bacilli; Lactobacillales; Streptococcaceae.